Molecule: long non-coding RNA, 525 nt
Filed under: Populus trichocarpa (black cottonwood)
Lineage: Eukaryota; Viridiplantae; Streptophyta; Magnoliopsida; Malpighiales; Salicaceae
Description: long non-coding RNA (PTRI_LNC000988)
Source: RNAcentral
AUGACGUGGCAAAUGGAGAGGAGAGGGAGUGGGGCCACAAGAAGCAUCACAAGCACCACCAUGUUGAAGGAGAAGAGGAGCAUGAGCAUGAGCAUGAGCAUGAGCAUGAGGAGCAUGAUCAUGAGCAUGAUCACGAGGAGCAUGAGCAUGAGCAUGAGGAGCAUGAUCAUGAGCAUGAUCACGAGGAGCAUGGGCACGGGCACGGGCACGGGCACGAUCACGAGCAUGAGCAUGGGCACGAUCACGAGGAGCACGGGCACGGGCAUGAGGAGCACGGGCACGAGCAUGAGCACGAGGAGCAUGAGCAUGAGCAUGGGCAUGGGCAUGGACAUGAGCAUGAGGGGCAUGGGCAUGGACAUGAGCAUGAGGGGCAUGGGCAUGAAUGGGGAUUGUUCAAGGGGAUUCGCAAGUUUUUGAAGCAUAAUUUUUGAGGAGAUUUGGAAGGUAUUAAUGUUAUUAUAAAUAUAUUAUGGGGGUGUUUAAGUAUGUGUAUUGUAUUGUUUUGUGUUGUGGUUAAGUAAUGUA